This 425-nucleotide ribosomal RNA is filed under the name uncultured bacterium. RNAcentral describes it as "partial 16S ribosomal RNA". It matches the Rfam family "Bacterial small subunit ribosomal RNA", at positions 354 to 796 of the family's 1533-position model. The record is from RNAcentral.
GUGGGGAAUCUUGCGCAAUGGGCGAAAGCCUGACGCAGCCAUGCCGCGUGAAUGAUGAAGGUCUUAGGAUUGUAAAAUUCUUUCACCGGGGACGAUAAUGACGGUACCCGGAGAAGAAGCCCCGGCUAACUUCGUGCCAGCAGCCGCGGUAAUACGAAGGGGGCUAGCGUUGCUCGGAAUUACUGGGCGUAAAGGGCGCGUAGGCGGAUCGUUAAGUCAGAGGUGAAAUCCCAGGGCUCAACCCUGGAACUGCCUUUGAUACUGGCGAUCUUGAGUAUGAGAGAGGUAUGUGGAACUCCGAGUGUAGAGGUGAAAUUCGUAGAUAUUCGGAAGAACACCAGUGGCGAAGGCGACAUACUGGCUCAUUACUGACGCUGAGGCGCGAAAGCGUGGGGAGCAAACAGGAUUAGAUACCCUGGUAGUCC